AUGUAUUCAGCAAACUGUUCAUUCUUACAGUGUUACAGAAAUUUAAACAGUCUUAAGUAUGGAAAACUUAUGAACACCCCUUUGAAAGCAUACACCUUGCCCCAGUUUCUGCUGCAACCAAAGGAGACUCCAACUCUCCAAUUCCAAUUUUGCAGGCACUUCGCAGAAUUGCUUUUUUCCACGAUAAUGAGCAAGAACGGGGUCCUGGAGCCCUCUGGUGGAUGUCUUGCAGAAGACAGGCAGCUGAAAGCUGCUUCAAACAUGAACUCAUGUACUCACUAAAACUUCAAGUGAUGCGCUCUUCAGAGGCAUGUCUCCUUUAUGAAUGGGCCUGAAGACAACUUAUGAAGUCUUUCUUUACAGUACUGAAAGAAAAGCAGUGAAAGAAGCUAAAGGUGGGCACUGUAGCAAUUGCUCUAGGUGACUGUUUGGGCUUUGCUGCCAGCAAACACUUUUUUCUGUUGCUCCUUGUACCGCAG
Molecule: long non-coding RNA, 479 nt
Filed under: Anas platyrhynchos platyrhynchos (common mallard)
Lineage: Eukaryota; Metazoa; Chordata; Aves; Anseriformes; Anatidae
Description: lncRNA (ENSAPLG00000030153.1)
Source: RNAcentral